Molecule: long non-coding RNA, 236 nt
Organism: Acromyrmex echinatior (Panamanian leafcutter ant)
Lineage: Eukaryota; Metazoa; Arthropoda; Insecta; Hymenoptera; Formicidae
Source: RefSeq, a predicted model, not a curated record
AAGAGAAAGAGAGAGAAGAGAAAAGAAAAUAAUCUCGAAUGACGCGAUCCGUUAACAACGUGCUAAAUGAUCGCCGAUCUUCUCGGGACGAUCCUCGCUUAGAACGUCACUUUGUGGAGGUGCUUUAUACUUUUGGUCAAGAAUGUAUUAUAUAUAAGAAUCAUGCCGGUGAUGGACGUUCUUAGAGAAAACUUCCCUUCAAUCUUUGGAGUAGACAACCGAUCUCCCGCAGCUUC